This 495-nucleotide ribosomal RNA is filed under the name uncultured bacterium. RNAcentral describes it as "partial 16S ribosomal RNA". It matches the Rfam family "Bacterial small subunit ribosomal RNA", at positions 28 to 507 of the family's 1533-position model. The record is from RNAcentral.
GACGAACGCUGGCGGCGUGCCUAAUACAUGCAGGUAGAACGCUGAAGGAGGAGCUUGCUCUUCUGGAUGAGUUGCGAACGGGUGAGUAACGCGUAGGUAACCUGCCUGGUAGCGGGGGAUAACUAUUGGAAACGAUAGCUAAUACCGCAUAACAGUAGAUGUUGCAUGACAUUUACUUAAAAGGUGCAAUUGCAUCACUACCAGAUGGACCUGCGUUGUAUUAGCUAGUUGGUGGGGUAACGGCUCACCAAGGCGACGAUACAUAGCCGACCUGAGAAGGUGAUCGGCCACACUGGGACUGAGACACGGCCCAGACUCCUACGGGAGGCAGCAGCAGGGAAUCUUCGGCAAUGGACGGAAGUCUGACCGAGCAACGCCGCGUGAGUGAAGAAGGGUUUCGGAUCGUAAAGCUCUGUUGUAAGAGAAGAACGAGUGUGAGAGUGGAAAGUUCACACUGUGACGGUAGCUUACCAGAAAGAGACGGCUAACUACGUG